GUCAGCGUGCAAUAAUGUAGCGCACGUGAAAUAUAAACAUAUAAUAUAUGUUUAUAUUUCACGUGCGCUACAUUAUUGCACGCUGAC
This is a non-coding RNA of Pelobates cultripes (western spadefoot toad), 87 nucleotides long. The record is from the annotation of a GenBank genome assembly. Lineage: Eukaryota; Metazoa; Chordata; Amphibia; Anura; Pelobatidae.